Acipenser ruthenus (sterlet) is the source of this 455-nucleotide long non-coding RNA. RefSeq lists it as uncharacterized. The record is from RefSeq and is a predicted model, not a curated record. The transcript has 3 exons. Lineage: Eukaryota; Metazoa; Chordata; Actinopteri; Acipenseriformes; Acipenseridae.
GAUACAAGUGAGACCGUAUGAAAAUGUGACCGAAGACGCAAGGGAGACAGGAACUUUUUAUGACCUAGAUGGAACCAGCGUUGAGCCCGGAGAUUAUGUCACAUCAUUUUCCCCAGGGAUGGAAGGAGGCUCUUCCUCCAGAACAAAUCAUGCUCCCUUAAAAAUGUCAGUGAUGCUGCCCUCUAUGCAAGAGGAAGACCAGAGUGGAAGCAUCAGCAUGCUUGAAGGGGACACUGAUACUUCAGGGGCCGACGUAUUCUGAUUCAUCCACCCAUCUCCUUAAAGCUCUGACAUGUUGCACUGUGUUUAAUACCAAUAAUGAAAUUAUAUUGAGAGUGAUAUUUUGUUAAUGUUGGAAUAACAGCAUGAUUAAUAUGUUACUGGGAUGGGUUUUUUUCUAGUUUGGAACAUAGAUGUAUAUUUUGUCUUGUAUGAGGAAUAAAAAGUGCUUUGAA